This 252-nucleotide ribosomal RNA is filed under the name uncultured bacterium. RNAcentral's name for it is "partial 16S ribosomal RNA". It matches the Rfam family "Bacterial small subunit ribosomal RNA", at positions 524 to 776 of the family's 1533-position model. The record is from RNAcentral.
GACAGAGGCCCCAAGCGUUAGGCGGAAUCACUGGGCUUAAAGCGUGUGUAGGCGGACGCCUAAGUGUCUUGUGAAAUCCCACGGCUCACCCGUGGAACUGCUGGGCAUACUGGGCGUCUUGGGCCAACUAGGGGCAGCCGGAACAAGCGGUGGAGCGGUGAAAUGCGUAGAUAUCGCUUGGAACGCCGAAGGUGAAAACAGGCUGCUGGGGUUGUGCCGACGCUGAGACACGAAGCCAGGGGAGCAAACGGG